Molecule: unclassified non-coding RNA, 4519 nt
Filed under: Portunus trituberculatus (swimming crab)
Lineage: Eukaryota; Metazoa; Arthropoda; Malacostraca; Decapoda; Portunidae
Description: uncharacterized LOC123519824, transcript variant X1
Source: RNAcentral
GCACCAGCACCUCAGUCCUUCCUCCAUCUCCGUCGGGGUCACACGUGCGGCGUUCACGCUCCUCCCCUCACGCUCCAGAGCCUCUCGAGGUAGGCAGUCAGGUGACGAGACCCACACCCAGAACACACCCUGAAGUCAAGAAAGAGACGCCCUCACUGCCGAUAUGAAGACCACAGGCGCCUCUCACCGAGCAGGCCGAGCAGCGCGUGAAUGAAAACAAAACCCUGUCACAGCAAAACACGCAUUUUGCUCUCUUUCCCUGCAAUCACUUUUUACGAGGCGAAGUAUUGCGAGCAGUCGAUUCCAAAUGCCUCUCUCUCCUAACACAACAGCUGCACCUUUGCCUGCACGCCGCCCGUCACGACAUACCCCGCCCACGCCCUGCCUAGCAAGUGCCCCCAGUGUGAGUGCUUGGUGCCUGGGUGGAGGAGGAAGCGGUGGAGGCGAGGGCGGCGGAGAGGCAAUGGUGGUGGUGGUGCCCCUGGGUGUCAUUAGUCGGGGCAGUGAAUGGAUGGUCGCCCCUCACUGAGAGAUGGUCCACCUCCACCUUAGGGCACGGCGUCUUCCCAAGGGUGCGGCGGCAGUGGACCGACUACUCAUGACCCAGAGUCAGCCCGGUGCAUCACGCAGGGCGGCACGGACACCACAGCAAGGCGAGUGCUACUAAUUACUGCCACUAUUGCUGUUCCCUGUGUGACGUUGUUCAUCAAAAGCGUAAAAUUAGUGAGGAGGAAAAACGGGAAGAGGAAAAUGGACAAAAGAUAUUUCAGGGAAAGAACAGUUUUGGACGCUUGUUAAAGUUGCAUCUCUAGGAAGUGACUCUAAAAGGGCGUUGCUUUAAGUCCCGUUUUAAGCAAGAAUUUCAGAACGAGCGGUUCAGCAAGCCUCUCGGCGUGACGGUAGUGUAAAGGACGCGGCGACACUCUACCUCAAAUUCCAUCCACAAAUAAAUAAAACAAGAGACACAGGACUCAUUCAAAGCAGCUUCCGCACACACUCACACACACAGGAAGAAGAAAAGAAUUAUAAUUUGUUUUUUUUAAUCUCGCCUGACUCUGAAGCAAGACAGUAAAAAAAAAAAAAAAUAGAUAAACAUAUUACGAAUGUGUGUGAAGAAAAGUUACAGAAGGAAUAUGGAGCAAUAAUCUGAAGGAGGAAUGAGAGGAAGAGAGCAGAAAGUGUUUUAAAAAUAAGAAGAGAAGGAGAAGGAACACACGAGUUUAACAACUUUAUAAGACAAUAUCAUACACACCAACACACAUUUUCCUUCACCUCACACUCUCCCUCCUUCCUCCUGUCAAUACUCUGCUUGUUAUGGACAUGUACUGAAGUGCUUCUUGUUGGGCGAGAACCACACUAAUCCCGGGAGUCUCCUAACGAAGCACAGUUGUCCGCGUUACGUAAUUUUAGCUCGAUUCGCAAUUUUCAGUGUGCACGUGUGUGAGUGUGUGUGAGAGUGGGUGUGAGGUUGAAGGAAAAUAUAUAUAUAAAAAAAAAGUGUAGUGAUAAAAUACCUUAAAAAGCUUCUAUAAACCACACAAGAUCCAUAUAAAAACUGCAAUGUAAAAAACAAAACUACUAAAAACAACUGUAUAAUUCCCUAACAUCAAAUGAAUGACAUGUGAACGUGACACUUACUAAUAACUAAGACUAAAACAGUGCAGCAUUUCGUUUAGUUACUUAUUAUUUCUCACCUCCUAAAACUGAACCCCAAAUAAACAAAAACAAAACAAGUGGAGAUUAUUAACAGUAACUAAACCAAGGAACCAUAAAAAUACAAAAGAUAAAAUACAAAAACAAUAAAAUAUUACAACUACAACUACAACUACAACUACUAAAAACAAAUAAAGUAACUAAAAAGAUUUAUAUACAUAGUUAUACGUAUAUUUCUACUGACACAAAACAAAUGACACACAACAAUACAAUGAGUUUGAGAAAUUGAUAUGAAAACAAGACUCGCUUUCAGCACCUGAGAUCCUCGUCACGUCAUCUGAAGACUUCUAGCACUGCACUGCACCUCAAUACACCUUCAUCUCACCUCACCUCACCUUCACACCAGUCAGCAGCUUCGUAGGCUGCCUCGUUCCUCGUCAGGGUUACUGGUCGAUCUGCCGCCUCGAGGACGAACCAAGGAGAAGCUCACGCCACUUCAAGACCAUCUAUCAACAAGCUGCUGGCCGGAGAAAGUUGGCAACCACUCAAGCACAAGCCUUCCUCACUUCUUCCUCCACUCCACCACCACCACAACUAGACUCCACCUAUCCUCAUCCAAGACCCACUCCACUUCUCCCACCUCAGCCCUCCCUCCUCCCUCCACACACACACACACACACACACACACACACACACACACACACACACACACACACACACACACACACACACUAACACACCACAGGACCCCUCAACUAACCCGUAUUGUAACGAAACAUUCCUCUCUAACAACUUGGCCUGACAAUUUAUAAACACGCCAGCCAACUUCCUACUCUAACCUUCUGUAAGAUCCGGUUUCUCUCUCCCACUGCGAGGUCACCCCUUCCUCUACUAACUCCCGACUCUCUCUCUCUCUCUCUCUCUCUCUCUCUCUCUCUCUCUCUCUCUCUCUCUCUCUCUCUCUCUCUCUCUCUCUCUCUCUCUCGUCUUUCCUCUGCUCACUUUAACUGUUUAACACGUUCCUUUCUUCCCUUCUCGCUUAGACAUAAUAUUAUAAUUCACCGUAUCUUCUUUCCUCAUCAUCCUCCUUCGGCCGCUGACUCACUGUGAAAAAGGACAUACACGCGUACACACACAAAUCCUUCUCCGCCUACACACGCUGCAUCCCUCGUCUCCCUAUCACCACCACCACCACCACCACCACCCUCCCCAUCAUCACCGCCAUUGCCUUCCUGUCCCGCCCUCUCUCCCGCCACACUCACCACCAUGUCUAUUGGAGGGGGCGCCCACUUGAUCUUCGGGGGCGGCAGCAGCAACCGCACCGUCUCGUCCCAGCAGUUCGAGUGCCACCCGGGCGGCACCACCGAGGCUGCCAUCAUCCUGUCUCUCGGCGCCCUCGGCAUGUCCGCCAAUAUCUUCCUCAUGACGCUUCUCAUCGCCCGCAGGCACCUCAGGAGGUGGUCCCAGGGCCUGCUCUUCCACCAGGCACUCGUGGACUGUGGGAGGGCAGCAAUACUCAUCCCACUAGGCCGCUCCAUAUACAGCUGUCAGCCGGUCACCAAGUGUUCUCUGGUGGAGACUGCCUUCCUGCUGCUCGUCACCGUGUCCACAAUCAAUAUGUUAACAACGGUAUUAAGUCAAGUGCUGAACGACGCUCCACUACUGCCGGAGGACUCUGACCAGAAGCAAAUGCCGCUGGUUAUGGAGUCACCGCAGUGUGUUCUCUUCGGUACCUUCAUGAUCUGGUUCGCCUCCAUCACGAUAAAUCUCGGUCCUACCUUCCUUUCCGGGGCACUGGCGGCGAACAUUGAUGAGGAACACAACGCCCCAUCGUGUCCGCUCAUCACGGGGCCGCUGCGUCACUAUGUCCUGAACGUGCUGUGGAUCGUGACUAACGUGCUCGUGGUGCUGCUCACAGUCUAUCAUCUCUGGAAGCUGUACCGUGACCUGUCCACCUCCUCGCUCGAAGCCGUCCGCAUCGCCUCCCUCGUCACCACCAUGAUCAGCGUCACCCAGCCAAGAAACCAAGACCCUGAGGCGAGUGAGCACCGGCAGGUCAACAGCUACAUCAACCGUAUGGAGCGUGAGGGCGUGGAGCGAGUCAAAAUGUUCGUGGUGGUGACGAUCGCCUACGUGGUGUUCUGGGGCCCCCUGUUCCUGGUUACUCUGCUCACGCCAUCAGGAGGCAAGACAGGACUCAGCCACGAGGUGACUCUUCACGUGGCUUAUGUGCACGCCUUCGUCAACCCGGCACUGUUCCUGGCGCUGCACAAGGGCUUAAGGAAGGCAGUAACCGACAUUAUGUGUUGCCAUUGCUCCACUGUGAGUUGCGCCGCUGACGAUACAAGUGGACGAGUGGGUGACGGCGGCCUCUCCAGCUUGCAGUCGAACAUGGCGUCCUCGCGGGCUAGUCUCGGCGGCGGCGGGCUGGCAGGGUUGGCCGGGAUGGGCGCGGCUAUGGGGGCGAGCGGUGGUUUAGGAGGAGGCACGUCCGGACUCUCCCCCGCUGCCCAGGCCCUACCGCAGUACCCAACAGACGGAGACAUCACCCCGCCGCCUUUCUCCUCCAUCAACCGACCUUACCUAUUCACGGAAGUAAACAGUCCAGGAGGCAGCGUGCGGGGCUCCCACCAGGACCUGAGCCAGCACCGCCUGCAUAUGGCUACUCCCACCAAGAGCAGCAUGAAAGUAAGACUAGUUAUACACAAGAAUUCGUCUCCAACCACAAGCCUCCACGAUGAAUUGUGAAUGGUUACCUUGGGAGCCGUGAGGCCAGGAGUCAGGCGAGCGGGCCGACCUUCGCCGCCUAUGACAAAAGACUGGCCUAAGCCGCCCCUGGAGUACUGCCGCCGCCCCUCCUGGUGAA